Molecule: unclassified non-coding RNA, 272 nt
Filed under: Glomeraceae sp.
Lineage: Eukaryota; Fungi; Glomeromycota; Glomeromycetes; Glomerales; Glomeraceae
Description: partial contains 5.8S ribosomal RNA and internal transcribed spacer 2
Rfam family: 5.8S ribosomal RNA (bases 1-65)
Source: RNAcentral
GUGAAUCAUCGAAUUUUUGAACGCAAAUUGCACUCUCUUCGGAGAGUAUGGCUGUUUGAGGGUCAGCCUCUAAAAAAUCGACAUCGUUGCGGUUUUGCGGUGGCGUUCGUCGGAUAUUGGGUAAUCUUAAAUAAUUUUGAUUUAAGCGACUUAAAAUUUUCUUUUGGUUCCAUGAACGUUUCUAAGAUCUAUUUCUUUACACGUUUAAGGGUAUCGAUUUUUAUUAGACGUGACCAUCAUAUCGGAUCGAGUCCAUAAUCUUUAAUUAACUG